GGUCACGUGGCCUAAUGGUUAAGGCGCUGGUUUUCGGCGUAGCUAUUCACCAGAGAUUGGGGGUUCGAGUCCUCCCGUGAUCG
This is a non-coding RNA of Morchella snyderi, 83 nucleotides long. The record is from the annotation of a GenBank genome assembly. Lineage: Eukaryota; Fungi; Ascomycota; Pezizomycetes; Pezizales; Morchellaceae.